CCUACGGGUGGCAGCAGUGGGGAAUAUUGGGCAAUGGGCGCAAGCCUGACCCAGCAAUGCCGCGUGAAGGAAGAAGGCCCUCGGGUUGUAAACUUCUUUUAUCAGGGACGAAGGAUGUGACGGUACCUGAUGAAUAAGCUCAGGGUAACUACGUGCCAGCAGCCGCGGUAAUACGUAGGGCGCAAGCGUUAUCCGGAUUUACUGGGUGUAAAGGGCGCGUAGGCGGAGUGGCAAGUCAGAUGUGAAAUCCAGGGGCUCAACCCCUGAACUGCGUUUGAAACUGUCGUUCUUGAGUACAGGAGAGGUUGGCGGAAUUCCUAGUGGAGCGGUGAAAUGCGUAGAGAUUAGGAGGAACACCAGUGGCGAAGGCGGUCAACUGGACAGCAACUGACGCUGAGGCGCGAAAGCGUGGGGAGCAAACAGGAGUAGAUACCCUUGUAGUC
This 443-nucleotide ribosomal RNA is filed under the name uncultured bacterium. Its description in RNAcentral is "partial 16S ribosomal RNA". It matches the Rfam family "Bacterial small subunit ribosomal RNA", at positions 338 to 795 of the family's 1533-position model. The record is from RNAcentral.